GGGCAACUUAAGACGUAAGCAGUUCACGCAAUUCACAUCUUUCCCUUCAUUUGCAGCAGUCACGUGACACGUCUCCUCCUUCUCUCGUCCACACUCAACCCUCCGUCCACCAUCACCGCGCACCAUCACCACCGCCUCCAACGUCUGACCGUUCUUCUUUGAGGCUCUGCUUCAUCUUCACCGGCGACGAGGCCCCACGCUGCGCCUCCUCUGCUCCGAACCCUAGAUUUUCUUCCCGGCCAUGUCGACCGAUUCCCAAAACUCUCACCGCAAGCACAACUGCUUUCUCACCGAUGAUGAUGAUCAUUCGCAAAGGAAUGUUAUACGUCAUUGGCUGACCAAAACCGGAUAUGUGAUAUUUAGGAAAAAAUAUGUAAUGAAAGCUACGGAAUGAAACUUGUGCUUUGGUGAAAUUCAUGAACGGAAAUAUGUGUCAAGGUUCGUGGUUAUACUGUGAGAAUUAUGAGAAAUAACCUGGACCCCUGUAGGUCAAGGCUUAAUUUCUCAAUACCGAUUCACAAGCCAUAUCUACAUUGUCACAAAUUAGUCCAUCGAAUAUUACAUGGGUGACCUUGGGGUUGAGCUCAAUUUCUAUGAUAGCAAUGGCUCCUACACUGCCAACACAGUUUCUUGUUCGGACCCAGUAUGUACUACUAUGGUUCCAUCAGCAUCGUCUCAAUGCUCAGCUGAAAAAGUAAACAGUGUGGUUACUCGUUUCAAUAUGGUGAUGGAAGUGGGACAUCAGGGUUUUAUGUCUCUGAUAUGUUGUACUUCGAUAUGAUUCUAGGGAACUCUAUGAUCGCUAACUCAUCCGCCUCUAACGUUUUCAGCAGGUUUCCAUAAAUAGCAGGCUUCGGGUGAAAUGAAAAGGGUGAUUGAGAUUCGUUAUUUUAUAGGAGAUGCGUUGCCAAGUGGAGAUUUUAUGUUCUCAUCAUCGAACCUUCCCUUUCGGGAAUGGGAACAAAAGUAUGGUUUUGCUCGAUAUUAUGUUAACCUUGGAUUAAACGCCUCUGAAUUUGAUUUAGAACGGGAUGUUGAACAAAAGAAACGUUAUGGUUUGUUGAAAGGUUAUGAAGGCAAUGUUAAAUUUGUUUCUUGCCAUCCUACAAAUAUUGAUCUUGUUGUAUCUAGCUCAAUAGAUGGGUGCUUUGUGCUUUAGGACUUGAGGUGUAAGCCUCACCAAGGGACGAAAUGGAUAACAUGAACUUAACAUGUUGAAGGAGCUCAUGCCUUAGCUAGACGAAAGCGGUCCAAGAAUAGAAAAGAAGCUUCGCUUUCGUUUUCAAUGACUGUAACAUAUGUUCUUUAUCAUAGAGAUGAAGUCUUUAUUGCCACAGCAGGGGCACUAGACAGUGUAGUAAAGUUUUGGGACACAAGAAAUCUUCGAACCCCAGCUACUCAAGCUGGUUCACUUGAAGGGUCUAUGACUGAAAUGAAAGGAAGAGAACAUGGGAUAACCAGCCUAUCCCAAGAUCUUAAUGGAGUGCUUCUUUCUGCAUCUUGUGAAGAUAAUAGAUUGAGGGCCCAAGAUCUCCUGAAGAGAUGCUUUCUAUAUUACAGAGAGUUCUGGAAGAAACUGCACCUGUACUUGUCUCAGCCAUGGUAGAAGCUGAGGAGAGGAGGACCAAGUAACAUAUGAUGAGGGAAGAACAAGAUGCUUCUUACAGGGCUGCAUUAGAAGCUGUCAGGUUUUCAAAACUCCAAGGGAGGGGCCCUUACCAAAAAGGAGUUGGAUGACGUUCGAGACAAGUGGGCUAUUUACUUCAACGAUUGUGAACUACCCUCAGUGUAAUAAAUAGAAUAAAUAGAGCAGGCUUGUAGUUAUUCGUGACUCUUACAUUAUUUUGUUAUUUAUCGAUUUAAUUAAUUACAUUUGAAUUAAUUCGGUAAUAUUAUUGGAAGUUUGAAAUUUA
Molecule: long non-coding RNA, 1913 nt
Organism: Spinacia oleracea (spinach)
Lineage: Eukaryota; Viridiplantae; Streptophyta; Magnoliopsida; Caryophyllales; Amaranthaceae
Exons: 12
Source: RefSeq, a predicted model, not a curated record